CAGGCUAUAUAAGGUGACUAAAUUCGAUCCAAAAGUCAUACUUGAUCCAGGAAGAAUCACAAGAAGUCAUGUCGGGGUAAAGUUGGAAGAACCUUGCUGAGGAUGAACUUCGGCGGCGAAAGAUGAGGAAGGCGAAACACAAACGCUUGCUCGCAGCGAAUAAUAGAAAGAAUCGUCGGAGUGGAAAGAUGUUGGACCUGCCUUGGGACAUAAUGCACGCAAAUACAAAACUCGAUUUCGAUGAUGUGCAUGAGUAAUAUAUGCAUAAGUAAAAUAUGCAUGAGAUUUGGCUUUUGGCUGAGAUAUGCUGAACACUCUUCUGUUUACCUCCUUGAUUUUCAACUUUUUCGGAUUGCGGUUUUUGUGCAUGAAGUCUGGUCGUGUCAAGCGCAUGCGGAGUAAAUACAAGUGAUUUGGGGCCCCAUCACUUGUAUUUUCUCCAUCUUGAACGACAAUAGUCCGGAACAAAAAUAUCGCUCACAGAGCGCCUAAAACAUAAAAAUGCACGAGAAAUUGUAUUUCCAGAAGGAGAUAAUAGUCGAGUGUUUUGGUUUUCUCGGGAGCAUGAAGAAAA
Dendronephthya gigantea is the source of this 574-nucleotide long non-coding RNA. RefSeq lists it as uncharacterized. Lineage: Eukaryota; Metazoa; Cnidaria; Anthozoa; Malacalcyonacea; Nephtheidae. The record is from RefSeq and is a predicted model, not a curated record. The transcript is spliced from 3 exons.